Osmerus eperlanus (European smelt) is the source of this 806-nucleotide long non-coding RNA. RefSeq lists it as uncharacterized. The transcript has 3 exons. The record is from RefSeq and is a predicted model, not a curated record. Lineage: Eukaryota; Metazoa; Chordata; Actinopteri; Osmeriformes; Osmeridae.
UUCCACUUUCCCACUGAUCAUUUCUUUGUCAGUGGGCAAACGUACAAAAUCAGCCGGGGGUCAAAUCAUUUUUUCCCCUCACUGCAUGUCCGACCCAUCCAAAAAGAUCUUAAUAUAGAGGUUGUUGAAGGACAAACUUUUUCAAAUGGGCCAUCCAUUGUCUGUGUGUAUUGCAGCAAGACAUUUAGUCUUUUUUUUGGUGGAAAUACAUGGGCAUAUCAACCAGUGUAAUUGCAACCAGUCCAACAACAGCAACAGUACUAGCAGCUCACAAAAUGACAGCAGAAACAGAGCAGGCACCGUAACAGACCAGGCACCAGCACCGACAGAGCAGGCACCAGCACCGACCAUGAAUUUGAGGAUCCUUCUGAAGUUGAAGGUGUACUCAUAUUUGAACAAUAAUUGUCAUCAUAUUAUAGUAUUACUAUUAAGAAUGCCUGUAUAAAGGUAAAUGAGAAAUAACGUCCCUUUCCCAGAAUCUAUUAUUUGAUUCAACAUGUAGCACCAGUCUAUUGUAAGUCUAUAACUAGGUUAACCUAUGUGCUAAUCCAGCAAGAAUAUGUUUAUCUAUACUUUUGUGUUUUAUUUCAGACUGGAAAAAAAAGACUGACGAAGGGCAAUCCACAUACAGAUUUCGAAGAUUUUUUUUUACAAAAAGCUGAAUAUCUCCCACCUCUGCGGAUUACUAUGGAUUUAUCCGACACAUCUGAAGACAGAACGAGGGGUUGUGUCGCUCUACAAAACAAACAAAGAUGGCUGGGCAUGUCCAUUGUCGAUCAACCUAAGAGUAUAUGACUAACAUGUCU